This 424-nucleotide ribosomal RNA is filed under the name uncultured bacterium. Its description in RNAcentral is "bacterial SSU rRNA". It matches the Rfam family "Bacterial small subunit ribosomal RNA", at positions 355 to 796 of the family's 1533-position model. The record is from RNAcentral.
UGGGGAAUCUUGCACAAUGGGCGAAAGCCUGAUGCAGCGACGCCGCGUGAGCGAUGAAGCCCUUCGGGGUGUAAAGCUCUUUCGGCAGGAACGAUAAUGACGGUACCUGAAGAAGAAGCUGCGGCUAACUACGUGCCAGCAGCCGCGGUAAUACGUAGGCAGCAAGCGUUGUUCGGAGUUACUGGGCGUAAAGAGUGUGUAGGCGGUGCUCUAAGUUUGGUGUGAAAUCUCCCGGCUCAACUGGGAGGGUGCGCCGAAAACUGGAGUGCUUGAGUGUGGGAGAGGAAAGCGGAAUUCCCGGUGUAGCGGUGAAAUGCGUAGAUAUCAGGAGGAACACCUGCGGUGUAGACGGCUUUCUGGACCAUUACUGACGCUGAGACACGAAAGCGUGGGUAGCAAACAGGAUUAGAUACCCCCGUAGUCC